GUCUGACGUCACAAAGAACCCUCCUUGCGUCCCCGCCGCAUGUGACCGCAUCCUAUAGGUUGAUCCGCAACCCCGCCCCUCGGACAGACAGCGCCAUCCGCCAAUCGGAGCCGCCCUUCCCGCACAUAGCCAAUUGGCUUAAGUCCAUCGCACACUAUUUAAAAUGGCAAUGUAGACAGAAAUGUUGGAGAAACUCAGCGGAUGAAGCAGUAUCUAUGUUUGAGUUUGGCCCCGCUUCAGACGCAAGCAUUUCUCCAGCAUUAUUGUCUACCGCUCUAUAGAUGCUGCCUCACCCGCAUUCACAUUCCCCUACAGAUAGUGUGAUAGGUGAGACACGGCGGUGGGCCCAGCAUCAACCCCCCUGCCUGAGGCACCGCUCACACCCACCCUCACCUCCGGCGGCUCUCUGUGUGUCCGGCGGCCGCUCUGUCCACCUUUGGUCCACACCGCAUGGAGUUUAACCCCGGAGCGGACCAGGGCGCUCAAGUUGCUGAACCAAGCCACGAUGCAACCGGUCAGCAUGCUCUCGACUGUGCACCUGUAGAAGUUAGAGAGAGUCCUCCAUGACAAACCAACUCUCCGUAAUCUUCUCAGGAAGUAGAGGC
Long non-coding RNA from Leucoraja erinaceus (little skate), 605 nucleotides. RefSeq lists it as uncharacterized. NCBI's taxonomy places the organism in Eukaryota, Metazoa, Chordata, Chondrichthyes, Rajiformes, Rajidae. The record is from RefSeq and is a predicted model, not a curated record. The transcript has 3 exons.